GACGAACGCUGGCGGCGUGCCUAAUACAUGCCAGUAGAACGCUGAAGGAGGAGCUUGCUCUUCUGGAUGAGUUGCGGACGGGUGAGUAACGCGUAGGUAACCUGCCUGGUAGCGGGGGAUAACUAUUGGAAACGAUAGCUAAUACCGCAUAACAGUAGAUGUUGCAUGACAUUUGCUUAAAAGGUGCAAUUGCACCACUACCAGAUGGACCUGCGUUGUAUUAGCUAGUUGGUGGGGUAACGGCUCACCAAGGCGACGAUACAUAGCCGACCUGAGAGGGUGAUCGGCCACACUGGGACUGAGACACGGCCCAGACUCCUACGGGAGGCAGCAGUAGGGAAUCUUCGGCAAUGGACGGAAGUCUGACCGAGCAACGCCGCGUGAGUGAAGAAGGUUUUCGGAUCGUAAAGCUCUGUUGUAAGAGAAGAACGAGUGUGAGAGUGGAAAGUUCACACUGUGACGGUAUCUUACCAGAAAGGGACGGCUAACUACGUG
Molecule: ribosomal RNA, 495 nt
Filed under: uncultured bacterium
Lineage: Bacteria
Description: partial 16S ribosomal RNA
Rfam family: Bacterial small subunit ribosomal RNA
Source: RNAcentral